RNAcentral lists this ribosomal RNA (2935 nucleotides) under Serratia marcescens. RNAcentral describes it as "23S ribosomal RNA". It matches the Rfam family "Bacterial large subunit ribosomal RNA". Lineage: Bacteria; Pseudomonadati; Pseudomonadota; Gammaproteobacteria; Enterobacterales; Yersiniaceae. The record is from RNAcentral.
GGGUUGUGAGGUUAAGUGACUAAGCGUACACGGUGGAUGCCUAGGCAGUCAGAGGCGAUGAAGGGCGUGCUAAUCUGCGAAAAGCGUCGGUAAGGUGAUAUGAACCGUUACAACCGGCGAUACCCGAAUGGGGAAACCCAGUGUGUUUCGACACACUAUCAUGUCAUGAAUACAUAGUGGCAUGAGGCGAACCGGGGGAACUGAAACAUCUAAGUACCCCGAGGAAAAGAAAUCAACCGAGAUUCCCCCAGUAGCGGCGAGCGAACGGGGAGGAGCCCAGAACCUGAAUCGGCUUGUGUGUUAGUGGAAGCGUCUGGAAAGUCGCGCAGCAAAGGGUGAUAGCCCCGUACACUAAAAUGCACAGGUCGUGAGUUCGAUGAGUAGGGCGGGACACGUGACAUCCUGUCUGAAUAUGGGGGGACCAUCCUCCAAGGCUAAAUACUCCUGACUGACCGAUAGUGAACCAGUACCGUGAGGGAAAGGCGAAAAGAACCCCGGCGAGGGGAGUGAAAUAGAACCUGAAACCGUGUACGUACAAGCAGUGGGAGCACCUUCGUGGUGUGACUGCGUACCUUUUGUAUAAUGGGUCAGCGACUUAUAUUUUGUAGCAAGGUUAACCGUAUAGGGGAGCCGUAGGGAAACCGAGUCUUAACUGGGCGAAUAGUUGCAAGGUAUAGACCCGAAACCCGGUGAUCUAGCCAUGGGCAGGUUGAAGGUUGGGUAACACUAACUGGAGGACCGAACCGACUAAUGUUGAAAAAUUAGCGGAUGACUUGUGGCUGGGGGUGAAAGGCCAAUCAAACCGGGAGAUAGCUGGUUCUCCCCGAAAGCUAUUUAGGUAGCGCCUCGUGAACUCAUCUUCGGGGGUAGAGCACUGUUUCGGCUAGGGGGCCAUCCCGGCUUACCAAACCGAUGCAAACUCCGAAUACCGAAGAAUGUUAUCACGGGAGACACACGGCGGGUGCUAACGUCCGUCGUGAAGAGGGAAACAACCCAGACCGCCAGCUAAGGUCCCAAAGUCAUGGUUAAGUGGGAAACGAUGUGGGAAGGCAUAGACAGCCAGGAUGUUGGCUUAGAAGCAGCCAUCAUUUAAAGAAAGCGUAAUAGCUCACUGGUCGAGUCGGCCUGCGCGGAAGAUGUAACGGGGCUAAACCAUGCACCGAAGCUGCGGCAGCGACGCUUAGGCGUUGUUGGGUAGGGGAGCGUUCUGUAAGCCGUUGAAGGUGGCCUGUGAGGGUUGCUGGAGGUAUCAGAAGUGCGAAUGCUGACAUAAGUAACGAUAAAGCGGGUGAAAAGCCCGCUCGCCGGAAGACCAAGGGUUCCUGUCCAACGUUAAUCGGGGCAGGGUGAGUCGACCCCUAAGGCGAGGCUGAAAAGCGUAGUCGAUGGGAAACAGGUUAAUAUUCCUGUACUUGGUGUUACUGCGAAGGGGGGACGGAGAAGGCUAGGCUAGCCGGGCGACGGUUGUCCCGGUUUAAGCGUGUAGGGGGUGUGACCUGGUAAAUCCGGUUGCAUAUCAACCCUGAGGCGUGAUGACGAUGCACUACGGUGCAGAAGUAGUUGAUGCCCUGCUUCCAGGAAAAGCCUCUAAGCUCCAGGUAACAUUGAAUCGUACCCCAAACCGACACAGGUGGUCAGGUAGAGAAUACCAAGGCGCUUGAGAGAACUCGGGUGAAGGAACUAGGCAAAAUGGUGCCGUAACUUCGGGAGAAGGCACGCUGGCAUGUAGGUGAAGUCCUUCGCGGAUGGAGCUGAAGCCAGUCGAAGAUACCAGCUGGCUGCAACUGUUUAAUAAAAACACAGCACUGUGCAAACACGAAAGUGGACGUAUACGGUGUGACGCCUGCCCGGUGCUGGAAGGUUAAUUGAUGGGGUCAGCCGCAAGGCGAAGCUCUUGAUCGAAGCCCCAGUAAACGGCGGCCGUAACUAUAACGGUCCUAAGGUAGCGAAAUUCCUUGUCGGGUAAGUUCCGACCUGCACGAAUGGCGUAAUGAUGGCCAGGCUGUCUCCACCCGAGACUCAGUGAAAUUGAACUCGCUGUGAAGAUGCAGUGUACCCGCGGCAAGACGGAAAGACCCCGUGAACCUUUACUAUAGCUUGACACUGAACAUUGAGCCUUGAUGUGUAGGAUAGGUGGGAGGCUUUGAAGCGUGGACGCCAGUCUGCGUGGAGCCAUCCUUGAAAUACCACCCUUUAAUGUUUGAUGUUCUAACUCGGCCCCGUGAUCCGGGGUGAGGACAGUGUCUGGUGGGUAGUUUGACUGGGGCGGUCUCCUCCCAAAGAGUAACGGAGGAGCACGAAGGUUAGCUAAUCACGGUCGGACAUCGUGAGGUUAGUGCAAAGGCAUAAGCUAGCUUGACUGCGAGAGUGACGGCUCGAGCAGGUACGAAAGUAGGUCUUAGUGAUCCGGUGGUUCUGAAUGGAAGGGCCAUCGCUCAACGGAUAAAAGGUACUCCGGGGAUAACAGGCUGAUACCGCCCAAGAGUUCAUAUCGACGGCGGUGUUUGGCACCUCGAUGUCGGCUCAUCACAUCCUGGGGCUGAAGUAGGUCCCAAGGGUAUGGCUGUUCGCCAUUUAAAGUGGUACGCGAGCUGGGUUUAGAACGUCGUGAGACAGUUCGGUCCCUAUCUGCCGUGGGCGUUGGAAGAUUGAGAGGGGUUGCUCCUAGUACGAGAGGACCGGAGUGAACGCACCACUGGUGUUCGGGUUGUCAUGCCAAUGGCAUUGCCCGGUAGCUAAGUGCGGAAAAGAUAAGCGCUGAAAGCAUCUAAGCGCGAAACUUGCCUCAAGAUGAGUCUUCCCUGGGCCUUCAAGGCCCCUGAAGGAACGUUUAAGACUAAGACGUUGAUAGGCUGGGUGUGUAAGUGCAGCGAUGCAUUGAGCUAACCAGUACUAAUGAUCCGUGAGGCUUAACCUUACAACACCGAAGGUGUUU